GAUGAAGAACGCAGCGAAAUGCGAUAAGUAGUGUGAAUUGCAGAAUUCAGUGAAUCAUCGAACCUUUGAACGCACAUUGCGCCCCUUGGUAUUCCAUGGGGCAUGCCUGUUCGAGCGUCAUUUGUACCUUCAAGCCUUGCUUGGUGUUGGGUGUUUGUCUCGCCUCUGCGCGCAGACUCGCCUCAAAACAAUUGGCAGCCGGCGUAUUGAUUUCGGAGCGCAGUACAUCUCGCGCUUUGCACUCAGAACGACGACGUCCAAAAGUACAUUUUUACACUCUUGACCUCGGAUCAGGUAGGGAUACCCGCUGAACUUAAGCAUAUCAAUAAGCGGAGGA
Molecule: unclassified non-coding RNA, 337 nt
Filed under: soil metagenome
Description: partial contains 5.8S ribosomal RNA, internal transcribed spacer 2, and large subunit ribosomal RNA
Rfam family: 5.8S ribosomal RNA (bases 1-120)
Source: RNAcentral